RNAcentral lists this ribosomal RNA (253 nucleotides) under uncultured bacterium. Its description in RNAcentral is "partial 16S ribosomal RNA". It matches the Rfam family "Bacterial small subunit ribosomal RNA", at positions 524 to 776 of the family's 1533-position model. The record is from RNAcentral.
UACGGAGGGAGCUAGCGUUGUUCGGAAUUACUGGGCGUAAAGCGCACGUAGGCGGCUUUGUAAGUUAGAGGUGAAAGCCCGGGGCUCAACCCCGGAAUUGCCUUUAAGACUGCAUCGCUCGAAUCCGGGAGAGGUGAGUGGAAUUCCGAGUGUAGAGGUGAAGUUCGUAGAUAUUCGGAAGAACACCAGUGGCGAAGGCGGCUCACUGGACCGGUAUUGACGCUGAGGUGCGAAAGCGUGGGGAGCAAACAGG